CAGAGGUAACCUUUGUGGUUCAUUCUGGUUGAUGGUGGAUUUUGUGGUCUUCUACCCAGCAUUCGGUAGUCGUAAAUCCUAUUGUUUGUUUCCCUCCCCAUCGAAGUUUGUGCUUUCCCGUGGUAUAAAUGAAUAUGUGCUCAGCAAACAGCAAUCAUUCAUCUUAUCCCCGGCCGAGUUUGUGGUUUUCUACCCAGUAUUCGGUAGAUGUAAUCUCCCUUCUUG
RNAcentral lists this long non-coding RNA (225 nucleotides) under Lathyrus oleraceus (garden pea). Its description in RNAcentral is "Pisum sativum (pea) long non-coding RNA (PSAT_LNC000863)". Lineage: Eukaryota; Viridiplantae; Streptophyta; Magnoliopsida; Fabales; Fabaceae. The record is from RNAcentral.